Molecule: ribosomal RNA, 195 nt
Filed under: bacterium
Lineage: Bacteria
Description: partial 23S ribosomal RNA
Rfam family: Bacterial large subunit ribosomal RNA
Source: RNAcentral
AGGGCAUGGCUGGUUAGCGACCUGCGGAAAGGAUAACCGCUGAAAGCAUCUAAGCGGGAAGCCUGUUCCGAGAUGAGAUCUCCCACCGGGUUAACCGGGUAAGGCCCGUGGCAGACUACCACGUAGAUAGGCCGGAAGUGUAAGCGCGGCAACGCGUUCAGCUGACCGGUACUAAUCGGCCGAGGGCUUAGGUUU